Long non-coding RNA from Megalobrama amblycephala (Wuchang bream), 1082 nucleotides. RefSeq lists it as uncharacterized. The record is from RefSeq and is a predicted model, not a curated record. Lineage: Eukaryota; Metazoa; Chordata; Actinopteri; Cypriniformes; Xenocyprididae. The transcript has 3 exons.
GCAUGGUUCAAAUCCUUAUUUCUUUUGUAUUUGAUUCUCUAAAGAGAUUUUUUUUUAAAAGAUAAAGGCCCUCUGUCUUUUCAAGGAUUAUUAUAAUGUACAUAACACAUUGAUAUUUCAGAUACCUGGUCACAUCAGAUGAACUGAGGAGAGGAGGUGCUCUCCCCCAGAGUUACUCACCAAACACUGUAGUGGCUUAUCGACGGAAGGCCAAGGGACAAAAAAAGAAAAUUAUAGAGAAGUUGGCGGAGUUGGCGGUGAACCCCAAACUUUGUGAAGAUGAAUGCAAGGAUCUGUCUGGGGACAUAAAUUACCUGGCAACAAAAUACAUCCCCCAGAAAAGAGUGGGUCAAGCCUUGUUAAGCCCCGGGUAUACUUCAGCCGUCUGCGUUCAUGCACCGUCCGCAUGACAUAAUUUUCGUCAUGCGGAGGGCUCGCGGCCGGCCGCACACCCCGUCCGCGUGCAGCCCAAAUUUCGAGACCGUGCGGACGGUGCGCGUGCAACAGCGCAAGCGCAAGCAGGACAGAAGAGUCCACUAGGUGGCAAUACGCACAGUACUGAGCACAAUGUGCAGUCGUCGAAGAAGAGUGUGUAAAGAGCAACUCAAAAACAAGACGAGUAAACUCAAAAGCAUGCCUUCUCCAUCGUUUUUGAUUCCUGUUCUCUUGGUGUAUCUUCUGAACUAUGCUGCAAUGGUGGCUGCACUAUUUUUCUUCUCCGAUCCUGCCCAGCGAAUAUCCAUGACACAAUGUCUGAUAAUAGUAUAGAAAAAAUUGCACUGCGCAUAUGUCGAACUCGGUCAUCUGUGCGCAUCCUUGGUUUAGUAUACUUUGAAAGAUGCGCGGACGCGACUGCGUGUGACAUGUCCGGGCGCGGAAAGUGGAGUAUACCCGGGGCUUUAGGAGAGGGGAAUGUCCAUGCAGCUAUGGCCAAAACAGAAGACUGCAAGAAGAUCUUGAAAGGUGUAAAGGCUGCUCUAGAGAAUAACUGGGAAACAUUUGACCUGGCAAUACAUGGUCUUGGUCCUGCUGUUAUAAAGGGCACUUUUUCAUUAAUUGAUGCAUGUCUUAAGGAAAAGAUG